Molecule: ribosomal RNA, 336 nt
Filed under: uncultured bacterium
Lineage: Bacteria
Description: bacterial SSU rRNA
Rfam family: Bacterial small subunit ribosomal RNA
Source: RNAcentral
AACGAACGCUGGCGGCAUGCCUAACACAUGCAAGUCGAGCGCCCGUAGCAAUACGGGAGCGGCGCACGGGUGAGUAGCGCGUGGGAACCUGCCCAGAGGUUCGGGACAACCGCGGGAAACUGCGGCUGAUACCGGAUGAUGCCUGAGGGCCAAAGAUUUAUCGCCUUUGGAGGGGCCCGCGUCGGAUUAGGUAGUUGGUGAGGUAACGGCUCACCAAGCCUGUGAUCCGUAGCUGGUCUGAGAGGAUGAUCAGCCACACUGGGACUGAGACACGGCCCAGACUCCUACGGGAGGCAGCAGUGGGGAGUAUUGGACAAUGGGGGCAACCCUGAUCCA